RNAcentral lists this transfer RNA (72 nucleotides) under Coniophora puteana. RNAcentral's name for it is "tRNA-Asn". It matches the Rfam family "tRNA". Rfam says of the family: Transfer RNA (tRNA) molecules are approximately 80 nucleotides in length. Their secondary structure includes four short double-helical elements and three loops (D, anti-codon, and T loops). RNAcentral also lists the same sequence under 1 other name. The record is from RNAcentral. Lineage: Eukaryota; Fungi; Basidiomycota; Agaricomycetes; Boletales; Coniophoraceae.
GGUAUCAUGGCAGAGUGGUUAUGCGGAGUACUGUUAAUACUUUUUACAAAGGUUCAAUUCCUUUUGAUGCCU